AUAUUUUUAACAAUUUUGCGUUUACAAUCAUUUUGAUGCUAAGUCACCAGUGACAAAAUCCUAUAAAACUUAAUAAAAAAGAAUUAAACAUAGAAGUCAAUGCUAUCCUAUGUUAUUAUGUAAUAAAAGUUAGGACAUUAAACUUUAAUAAAUUUCAAAAUAAAAGAAUUGAUUGAUUAUAAAAUAGAGACUAAAUUAUAAGUAUCUAUUAUUACAUGAGUAAAAAAACUAACUCAUGGUUUAGUUCCACACUCACUCUUCAACCAUAAUAAUUAUCAACCCAACUUUUAAACUCACCAAAAAAAAGUGUUUAUUAACCUAAUUUAACAACCCUGGUGGAUUUUUGGCAGAUAAGACAAAGAGGUGUGGCCAAUGCAACGAGAGGGUCGAAAAAUUAAAGGCGGCCAUGCAGUGUCCUUUGUUAUCUAACUACACGUGUCCAUCAUGAACAAGAGAAGCACGCAGUUUGUGGUGAUCUGUAGGGUCAAGUUAUCACAUCUUCAAGAAGAGAGGGAGGAAUUGAAUUAAAAUGUAAAAUAGAUUAAAAGAAGGAUAAAUUAUAAGAUUCCCUCGGGGUCAAGACUAACGGAGGAGGUAUUCACGGACGGCAUGGCACCGUUAGCUGAUGAAACGGGUUUGUUUUGUUUGGCCGCCGUGUUCAACCAGGUUGCCGUUAAAUACUACGGUUAACACGCUCUCCCCCCAAUUCCUCAAAAAAGUUUAACAUAAAAAAUUUCUUUAUUUUCUGUUAAUUUUAUUUCGGUAAAAUGUGUUUUAACUAAUUAAAGAUUAUGUCUGAAAGAAAAGUUUGGAAAUUAAUUUGUUUUUGGUGAUUUUAAAGGUAAUAAAUGAACAAAAAUAUUUAGUAAAUAUUUUAACUCUGUUGUUUACAAUAAUUUUUAAAAAAUUUAUCAUUUUUAUUAUAAAUUUAAAACUAAAAAAGAUAAAUUAAAAAAUUAAAAAAGAAAGUAAAAAUAAUUAUCAAACAAUUUAUAUUUUAGUGGAUGAAAUUUUAAAAAUAAACUUUGAUAGUUGAGUUACUUCUAACGAAAAUAUGACGUAGAUAUAAUAGUCACAUGUAUAAAGAUAUUUUUAAAAAAUAUAUAAUAUUUAAAUGUAUCUUAAGUUACACUCAUCUUUUAAAAAAUUUCAGUUGUGGUAGUUAAAGUACAUGCAGGCCAUGCAUGCACUCAAGUAUCGCUCAAAAUUAAAAUCUUCUUCCUUUUUAACCACUUUCUCAUUCCCUUCCCCUCCCCGAGCAAGGUUUGCAGGUGCCACGUCCAUUUUCAAUGAACAUCUCCACCACCGCCGUCGUCCUCUUUUCUCUUCACUCCCCCUCGCUCUUUUCCCAUCCAUUUUCAAUUCUGUCCAUCUCUCUUUCUUCCUUCUAUUAAUUUUUCUUUUUCCUCUUAGAAAAAAUCACUUCAAGUCAUCAUCUUCUCUUCACUUAUGCCAGUUAUCCCAAAUCCAGAACAACGGGGGAUCUAAAUGAUUCUUCAAAAAAUAGGCCUUUUUGUUGAUUAGAAGGCAUACAACAAAGUUUAGGAGGAAGGUGUGGAAACAAUGAUACAGUUCGCCGGACCGAGGUGGCGGCAAUAUAAUCCGACAACAGAGGAAAUGAGAUAAGGGAAAAAGAGUAUUAGGGAGGGUUGAAGAAAGAUAGAGAUUUAUUGGCCUUCCGGUGAGUGGUAACAACUCAGAUCUUGCCGACAUUGACUCAGUCCUCCGGUAACUAUUCCCCUGAAAUUAUGCUAAUUUUUCAGCUUAAUUAAUUUUGUGAUGGAAGGGAAGGGGAUAAUUUUAUGGCUUGUUAGGGUUUUUUUUCCAUCUUCCUCUUCUAUUCCAAUGAUCAUUGAAGCUAAAGACUGGGUUGUUCUCUACUUUCAUCUACUUUCCCCCAUUUUUGAAAGCUGGGUGUUUAUGCUGCCAUGAAAGAGCAGCAGGGUUUUACAAGGGAGAUCUUUAAUUCAGAUGGGCUUUUAAUUGUUGAGUAUAAUUUUGUACUAAAUUUCAGCUACGAUCUGUUUGAGCUGAAACAUAAAACUAGUUUUUUUUCCUCUUUUUUUGGGGGGGGCGAGUGGGGGUUUCACAGAUACUCCAUGAAUUUUCUAAAUUUAUCGCGUUUUCUCACCGUGAACAGAGAAUUAGAUUAAGAAACGAAGGCGUACCUUUGCAAGGAAAGGAAGCUGGGAUUUCUGGAACAAGAGGGCAAAAAUCGGCUCUUCUGCUUGAGUGGUGGAAACCAAUCAAAUGGAUUCCGGCCAACCUGAGGGAAAUAAGGCCGAUGUCCAAGGUAGUUCUUGGAUUCCAGCGAC
RNAcentral lists this long non-coding RNA (2315 nucleotides) under Cucumis sativus (cucumber). Its description in RNAcentral is "long non-coding RNA (CSAT_LNC001239)". The record is from RNAcentral. Lineage: Eukaryota; Viridiplantae; Streptophyta; Magnoliopsida; Cucurbitales; Cucurbitaceae.